RNAcentral lists this ribosomal RNA (492 nucleotides) under uncultured bacterium. Its description in RNAcentral is "partial 16S ribosomal RNA". It matches the Rfam family "Bacterial small subunit ribosomal RNA", at positions 29 to 507 of the family's 1533-position model. The record is from RNAcentral.
AGUGAACGCUGGCGGUAGGCCUAACCCUUCCAAGUCGACCGGAACCACAGUAAGACCUUGCUCUAACGGGGGGCGAGUGCCGAACGGGGGAGGAAACCACGGAAUCCACCUUUUUCGUGGGGGAAAACGAAGGAAAACUAACCCUAUACCCGCAUACACCUUACGGGUAAAACAAGGGGAUCUCCGGACUUUCCCCGAUUGAAUGACCGGAUGUCGGAUUAGCUAGUUGGCGGGGUAAAGGCCCACCAAGGCGACGAUCCGUAGCUGGUCUGAGAGGAUGAUCAGCCACACUGGAACUGAGACACGGUCCAGACUCCUACGGGAGGCAGCAGUGGGGAAUAUUGGACAAAGGGCGCAAGCCUGAUCCAGCCAUACCGCGUGGGUGAAGAAGGCCUUCGGGUUGUAAAGCCCUUUUGUUGGGAAAGAAAAGCAGCAGGUUAAUACCCCGCUGUUCUGACGGUACCCAAAGAAUAAGCACCGGCUAACUUCGUG